This 253-nucleotide ribosomal RNA is filed under the name uncultured bacterium. RNAcentral describes it as "partial 16S ribosomal RNA". It matches the Rfam family "Bacterial small subunit ribosomal RNA", at positions 524 to 776 of the family's 1533-position model. The record is from RNAcentral.
UACGUAGGGUGCGAGCGUUAAUCGGAUUUACUGGGCGUAAAGCGUGCGCAGGCGGUUUUGUAAGACAGGCGUGAAAUCCCCGGGCUCAACCUGGGAAUUGCGCUUGUGACUGCAAGGCUGGAGUGCGGCAGAGGGGGAUGGAAUUCCGCGUGUAGCAGUGAAAUGCGUAGAUAUGCGGAGGAACACCGAUGGCGAAGGCAAUCCCCUGGGCCUGUACUGACGCUCAUGCACGAAAGCGUGGGGAGCAAACAGG